Molecule: ribosomal RNA, 495 nt
Filed under: uncultured bacterium
Lineage: Bacteria
Description: bacterial SSU rRNA
Rfam family: Bacterial small subunit ribosomal RNA
Source: RNAcentral
CGUGAGGGAUGAAGGCCUUCGGGUUGUAAACCUCUUUUAGCAGGGAAGAAGCGAAAGUGACGGUACCUGCAGAAAAAGCACCGGCUAACUACGUGCCAGCAGCCGCGGUAAUACGUAGGGUGCAAGCGUUGUCCGGAAUUAUUGGGCGUAAAGAGCUCGUAGGCGGUUUGUCACGUCUGCUGUGAAAUUCCGAGGCUCAACCUCGGACUUGCAGUGGGUACGGGCAGGCUAGAGUGCGGUAGGGGAGAUGGGAAUUCCUGGUGUAGCGGUGGAAUGCGCAGAUAUCAGGAGGAACACCAAUGGCGAAGGCACAUCUCUGGGCCGUAACUGACGCUGAGGAGCGAAAGCGUGGGGAGCGAACAGGAUUAGAUACCCUGGUAGUCCACGCCGUAAACGGUGGGUGCUAGCUGUGGGCCACAUUCCACGUGGUCCGUGACGAAGUUAACACAUUAAGCACCCCGCCUGGGGAGUACGGCCGCAAGGCUAAAACUCAAA